This 148-nucleotide small RNA is filed under the name Macaca mulatta (Rhesus monkey). RNAcentral's name for it is "Metazoan signal recognition particle RNA (ENSMMUG00000063998.1)". The record is from Rfam by way of RNAcentral. Lineage: Eukaryota; Metazoa; Chordata; Mammalia; Primates; Cercopithecidae.
GCCGGGCGUGGUGGCACGUGCCUGUAAUCCCAGCUACUCGGGAGGCUGAGGCAGGAGAAUCACUUUAACCCAGGAAGUGGAGGUUGCAGUGAGCCAAGAUUGCACCACUGCACUCCAGCCUGGGUGACAGAGCGAGACCCUGUCUCAA